RNAcentral lists this ribosomal RNA (484 nucleotides) under uncultured bacterium. Its description in RNAcentral is "partial 16S ribosomal RNA". It matches the Rfam family "Bacterial small subunit ribosomal RNA", at positions 29 to 523 of the family's 1533-position model. The record is from RNAcentral.
AGUGAACGCUGGCGGCGUGCUUAACACAUGCAAGUCGAACGAUAACGGAUUAUAGCUUGCUAUAAUUGUCAGCUAAGUGGCGCACGGGUGAGUAAUGUAUAGGUAAUAUGCCUCUUACUAAGGGAUAACAAAUGGAAACGUUUGCUAAUACCUUAUACUCCUUUUAAACAGAAGUUUAAAAGGGAAAGAUUUAUUGGUAAGAGAUUAGCCUGUAUUGUAUCAGUUAGUUGGUGGGGUAAUGGCUUACCAAGACUAUGACACAUAACUGGUUUGAGACGAUGAUCAGUCACACUGGAACUGAGACACGGUCCAGACUCCUGCGGGAGGCAGCAGUGGGGAAUAUUGCACAAUGGACGAACGUCUGAUGCAGCAACGCCGCGUGGAGGAUGACACAUUUCGGUGCGUAAACUCCUUUUAUAUGAGAAGAUAAUGACGGUAUUAUAUGCAUAAGCACCGGCUAACUCCGUGCCAGCCGCCGCCGUAA